This 701-nucleotide ribosomal RNA is filed under the name Burkholderia territorii. Its description in RNAcentral is "bacterial SSU rRNA". It matches the Rfam family "Bacterial small subunit ribosomal RNA", at positions 56 to 751 of the family's 1533-position model. Lineage: Bacteria; Pseudomonadati; Pseudomonadota; Betaproteobacteria; Burkholderiales; Burkholderiaceae. The record is from RNAcentral.
UGCAGUCGAACGGCAGCACGGGUGCUUGCACCUGGUGGCGAGUGGCGAACGGGUGAGUAAUACAUCGGAACAUGUCCUGUAGUGGGGGAUAGCCCGGCGAAAGCCGGAUUAAUACCGCAUACGAUCUACGGAUGAAAGCGGGGGACCUUCGGGCCUCGCGCUAUAGGGUUGGCCGAUGGCUGAUUAGCUAGUUGGUGGGGUAAAGGCCUACCAAGGCGACGAUCAGUAGCUGGUCUGAGAGGACGACCAGCCACACUGGGACUGAGACACGGCCCAGACUCCUACGGGAGGCAGCAGUGGGGAAUUUUGGACAAUGGGCGAAAGCCUGAUCCAGCAAUGCCGCGUGUGUGAAGAAGGCCUUCGGGUUGUAAAGCACUUUUGUCCGGAAAGAAAUCCUUGGCUCUAAUACAGUCGGGGGAUGACGGUACCGGAAGAAUAAGCACCGGCUAACUACGUGCCAGCAGCCGCGGUAAUACGUAGGGUGCAAGCGUUAAUCGGAAUUACUGGGCGUAAAGCGUGCGCAGGCGGUUUGCUAAGACCGAUGUGAAAUCCCCGGGCUCAACCUGGGAACUGCAUUGGUGACUGGCAGGCUAGAGUAUGGCAGAGGGGGGUAGAAUUCCACGUGUAGCAGUGAAAUGCGUAGAGAUGUGGAGGAAUACCGAUGGCGAAGGCAGCCCCCUGGGCCAAUACUGACGCUCAUG